GCCUGGCUGGCUCAGUGGAAAGAGCAUGCGACUCUUGAUCUUGGAGUCAUGAGUUCAAGCCCCAUGUUGGGUG
This is a transfer RNA of Felis catus (domestic cat), 73 nucleotides long. It matches the Rfam family "tRNA". Rfam says of the family: Transfer RNA (tRNA) molecules are approximately 80 nucleotides in length. Their secondary structure includes four short double-helical elements and three loops (D, anti-codon, and T loops). The record is from Rfam. Lineage: Eukaryota; Metazoa; Chordata; Mammalia; Carnivora; Felidae.